CCCUGAUCACUGAUCUUGUGAUGAGUGUGCGUUCGUUUGUUGUGAGCUUGUAUUUGUGUAUGUCUUGUGUCUUACUGUCUUCCCAAAUCCCAAAUAAUACGCGUUCUCUAGAAAGUUUCAAGUAACCUGUUUGUUAUUUUUAAUUUUUAUUUAAAAUUUAAAGGUAUUUUCAUGUAGGAAAGAAAAUAUUUUAUUGGAAUAGUGAUACUAGAUAUUGAUGUUUUUAUAGUUCUGUGAUUAUGCUUGAUGCUCGCGAUAUUUGUAUUUUACACUGAGAUGACAGGAGUAAAAAGUGAUUUUGGUUUGACUUUCAGAUUCUAUUUUUUAACAUUGUCUAAAUUCUUUGUUUUGAAUUAGUUAGGCUAUGUCUCAUUUGAUAUUAUAAUAUAAUGUUGAACUAAGUUAUAGGUACUUCGUCAAAUUGAAGGCCACAGGUAUCUAAAUCAUAGAUCACUUUAACUUACCUAUAAAAUAUUCAAUUCAUGAUUGCUCAUUCAUUUUUAGUGAAAUGGACUCAAAUUCUCAAGCAAAACCAGUUAACCCUCUUCAUGAUGGGUCAAACGUAGCAUUUGGUACUCGUAGUGGUAUAUGUACUGGUGUAGAAUCUGGAUAUGGUCGAAUCAUACCAAAAACACCUGAAUUCCAAGGUAGAUCUUUUCCUGUUAACUCAUCAACAAAUUUGAACAACUCUGCUGAGAUGAUGGCAAGCAGUGGCUCUCGUUCUGUACCUGCUAGUACAGUUGUUUCUCCUGUAAGAACAUUUCCAGAUAGAAAUAGAUCACAUGAAGUCCAGCACAGAUCUCUGGGCGCUAUUGAGAGUUUCGUGAUGGAGGCUUCAAGUCAACAGGUUGGGAAAGCACCGCAGAUUCAAGAUUACAAACAUUAUGAGAGAGGAAAUAUUAUUGCAGCCUCCAAGUUUGCAACCCCAAAACCGGUUGAGAAUAUUACAGUAAGUUUGAGUAAUGUUGCAAUUAAUGAAAAGCAUAACGAUAUUCCAAACAGAUUGCAUCACACAAACCAGAAUGGAGGAAUGAUAGAUCACAAUAAAUAUUAUAGUUCUUACUUGAUGAAACCGGGGGCAGUGAGCCCUACGCACAGUCACAGCGGCUCAAGUCGAGAAUCGAAUAGUCCGCGGGCGAGUAUGGCGGCAGCACCUGUUUCACACAACUACGAGUACAAAGCCAACAGUCCUUCGCCACUCUAUGAGAACAUAGACUAUUACAAUGCACGCACCUCAGCCCCGCCCUACUACCACCAACUUCCACAGACACAUUCCAGUUAUGGCUCAUCAGACUCAAAGCAUUCCAGCCCCAGGGCAAGCUAUGUCGCCACCGAUGACGCAACAUUCCGCAAAGCACAACCUCAAGUACCUUCUGGGGUCAAGUACAAACCGAAAGAAUACCCGCCCUACGAAGCCCCACCGGUCUAUGAGAACAUCCAGGACAUCAGUAAGGUCAACUACGAGCCAGCCAAACCAGGACCCCAGGUCGCUUCACACAAUGAACAGAGGCAUUCUGUUGUGGCUUCCAUGCCGUACACUCCGCCCUCAUUCCCAGCCAGCUACUCUAGCGGGCCGCCAAUCAUGCAUUCCAAUUCAUCAGCUGGGCAAGUGGUGGCCAUCGACAGUCGGCAACCACAACAACAACAACAACAAUAUUUCCAGGCGACGACUGUUGUGAGCACAGCUGUUCCCCUAUCAGUCGUCACUUCUGGACAAACUUCGUUGGCGACCAGUUAUCAGAGAGGGACCAUGUCUGGCAUCGCUGGGAGCAUCAGUCCUGUUUCGCAGAGCCAGAAUCCACCCAGUCCUACGCCGUCAGCCAAAAUCAAAGCCAUGGCAGGCAGCGGCAAGAAUCUUCUUCCGUACAACAUCACUCCACCACGCCCUAUGGGCCCCACUGAAGCAGAGAGAAAAAUUGAAGAACUCACCAGACAAUUAGAGGAGGAAAUGGAGAAACAAGAAGAGGAAGGAGAAUAUUUCGGCAUUUGCCACACGUGUGGAGAGAAGGUGACAGGCGCAGGACAGGCGUGUCAGGCGAUGGGCAACCUCUACCACACCAACUGCUUCAUCUGCUGCUCGUGUGGCCGGGCGCUCAGGGGCAAGGCCUUCUACAACGUGCACGGCAGAGUCUAUUGCGAGGAGGACUAUCUGUAUUCAGGGUUCCAGCAGACGGCUGAGAAGUGUGCUAUCUGUGGCCACCUUAUCAUGGAAAUGAUCCUCCAAGCCAUGGGCAAGUCAUAUCACCCAGGCUGCUUCCGGUGCUGCAUGUGUAACGAAUGUCUGGACGGCGUCCCCUUCACCGUAGAUGUAGAUAAUAAAAUAUAUUGUGUCAACGACUAUCACAGGGUACUGAGGAGACCGUGCGUGUAGUAUCAAUGGACAAAGACUUCCAUGUAGAUUGUUAUAUAUGUGAGGAAUGUGGUAUGCAGCUAACUGACGAGCCUGAUAAGCGUUGUUAUCCUCUGGAUGGCAGAUUAAUGUGUAGAGCGUGUCACUUGAAUCAUCAACCUCGACCAUUACAGAGUGUUCCUGCUAGUUACCAUUUGGGCUGAAGAUUAUUAUCAUAAUUUCUAAAAAUCAUCAUACAGUAAUUUUCACUUUGUAAACUAUUAGGCUAUAUUUGGAUGUACGGUAACUUAUUGAAUAGACAAUUAUGAUGAACUGUGUUAUCAUAACAUUAAUGCUCACAGAGAUCUGAUUAAUUGACUCAAUUAGCUUUUGUAAUAUUUUCUUCAUCCAAUUGUUGGUCCCUUUGUUUUUAAUUCAAUGAAUUAAUGUAGUAAUUCAGAUAUUCACUACAUGGAUCCAUUGAACCCUAUGUGAAAAAUCGUAUAAUAAUAAUUUGAUACAUGCAAAUGUUCAAUUCAAGUGUAAAAACGGUUUUUCAAAUUUAUAUUUGUAUUUAGUAUUUUUUUUUUUAAUUAAAUGAUGAAUGAGAGUAAGUUGAUGUAACUUGUAUCAAGUAAGAUUACUUUUGUUGGAUUUUAAAAAUGAUUUUCUUUUGCUCUUUCGAUCGGAUUUAAAUGAAUGAUUUUUUUUAUUCAAAUAUUUUGUAAUUUACAAUUAUUCAUACCUUUAAACAGGUUUUAUUUUGUGGUAAACUGAAUCAUUUUAUUUUCACAUUUUUUGUCAUUGAAUGUUUUGAAUAAACAUUAUUUAAUUUGGAUGAAGAAUCCUUCAUAGAUAUGGCUUUAUUGAAGUAAUUCAUUAGCAAACUGAAGAGAUCAGUGUUAAUCAAUCAUAGUUCAAUAAAUAGCUUAUUUAUUAAAUGUACUCCUUGAGAAAGAAAGAUAAUUAAAGUAACUAUUUCUGAUGCUUCGGGAUCUACUGUUUUUGUAUAUUUAUAUUUACUUGUCUUAGCCAAUAUUAAUAAAAAUAUGUUCAUCAUGAUUUAUAGAUCAUUCUGUGAAUGAUUUUCAAUUUUAAUCGUAUAGAUUUUCAGCUAAAAACUUUCAUAGUACUGUAUAUAAUUAUUAUUUAUAUUUAAUACUGUAUUAUUAAACAAACUUUUCCUUGCUCAUAUUUCUACAUCACUGUUAUUAUUUGUGAUCUUUGAAUCAUAUAUACAUACUUCACAAUGUAAAACUGGAUAUGUAUAAUGUAUAUUAAUAACUCAAACAAUAUUAUUCGUGUAAGUUGUAUCUCAAUAUCAGUUCACAAAAAUCAAUAAUUAUUAAUAACUCAAUAUUAAUUAUUACUAUUAUUAUAUUCAACAUGAAAUAUGCCGAAUAACUGGCAUAAUUGAUACCAAACCAAUGAUUUUAAAACUCAAAUUAUAAUCUUAAUAGCUAUUCCAGUGCUUCCAUAAACUAACUAUGCUGUUCAAUAUAAUAGUACGUGUUCAAUCUUGAAGUAAGGAAGAGUUCCAAGCUUUAAUGAAUUAUUGUAGAAAUAAUAUGUUAUACUUGAUUUUUGACAUUAAAUUCAUACGAUUUAAAUGAAUGAACAGCUAUGUUGCAAUAAGUAUAUUUCAAAUAAGGAAAUUAUAGAACUCCCCUCUCUUUGAAAGUAGAGUUCUAAAACUAGAUAAAUUCACCGGUUAGUAGUCUUAUUAUUUCUCCGCUAGUUUCGAACAAAGAAUUUCUUGUUCAGUAAUUUAAAACAACAUUUCUCAUGUUACUCUGACCUUAUAUUUAUUUUACUUAAUUUAUUUUACUAUUGACUUUCAACUAUUUCCAAUCUUGAUCUUUCUCCUAUUCAUUCACCUUCUGGGGGUUUCCUGUAAUUAGUAAAUAAUAACAAUAUAGAAGGAAGAGUUUAGAAGAUUUUGUUUACAAUUAUCAACAAAGCACAAGCAUCCAUUAUAUAGCAUCGUGUCUUAUGUUUUUAAAUUAUGUCGUUAAAUAAUAAUUUUUCAAUUAUUGAUGGUGAUAAGUUGUAGAAAGUACAAAGAACGAUUUUCAUCAUGAAGGUGAUGAUAUAUUUUAUUUUGAGAUGGAAACCAUUCCAGAAUCACCCCCGCCGCCACUGAUACAACUUUUUAGAUUUAAUUCAUAUUAAAUAGCUGCUGUGAUAAUUUAUUGGUAACAAUUACUUUUUAAAUUAGUUAUUUUAAUAAACGUACAACACGCCGAGAAAUUUUUAAGAUAUCUUAGAUAAAGACAAGUUUUAUUUUACUCAUAUUUAUGAUAAUUUUGUGGGAAAUUAUGAUAGUGUAUACUAUAACAUUGUAGAAGUAUAUUGCUUAAUUUGCAUGAUUUAUUUCGAAAGCACAAUUUAUGAAACUUUCUAUUCAAAAUGUGAAUAUAUUUGAGAAACUACGAAUAAAUGAGUAUUAUUAAAAAA
RNAcentral lists this unclassified non-coding RNA (4786 nucleotides) under Nilaparvata lugens (brown planthopper). RNAcentral's name for it is "lIM domain-containing protein jub, transcript variant X1". Lineage: Eukaryota; Metazoa; Arthropoda; Insecta; Hemiptera; Delphacidae. The record is from RNAcentral.